Molecule: ribosomal RNA, 249 nt
Filed under: uncultured archaeon
Lineage: Archaea
Description: partial 16S ribosomal RNA
Rfam family: Bacterial small subunit ribosomal RNA
Source: RNAcentral
GAGAGUGCGAACGUUGUUCGGAAUUACUGGGCUUAAAGCGUACGUAGGCGGCGUGACAAGUGUCGGGUGAAAUCCCACGGCUUACCCGUGGAACUGCCUGGCAAACUGUCAUGCUAGAGUGUGGUAGGGGAGAACAGAACUCAUGGUGGAGCGGUGAAAUGCGUAGAUAUCAUGAGGAAUACCGGUGGCGAAGGCGGUUCUCUGGUCCACAACUGACGCUGAGGUACGAAAGCUAGGGUAGCGAACGGG